Molecule: ribosomal RNA, 290 nt
Filed under: uncultured bacterium
Lineage: Bacteria
Description: partial 16S ribosomal RNA
Rfam family: Bacterial small subunit ribosomal RNA
Source: RNAcentral
GUGGAUUAGAUACCCUAGUAGUCCACGCCCUAAACGAUGUCGACUGGUUGUUGGGGGUUUGACACUCUCAGUAACGAAGCUAACGCGUGAAGUCGACCGCCUGGGGAGUACGGCCGCAAGGUUAAAACUCAAAGGAAUUGACGGGGACCCGCACAAGCGGUGGAUUAUGUGGAUUAAUUCGAUGCAACGCGAAAAACCUUACCUACCCUUGACAUGUCCGAGAGCCCGCUGAGAGGUGGGUGUGCCCGAAAGGGAAUCGGAACACAGGUGCUGCACGGCCGUCGUCAACU